RNAcentral lists this non-coding RNA (932 nucleotides) under Trichomonas vaginalis G3. RNAcentral describes it as "Eukaryotic small subunit ribosomal RNA". It matches the Rfam family "Eukaryotic small subunit ribosomal RNA", at positions 256 to 1326 of the family's 1831-position model. Lineage: Eukaryota; Parabasalia; Trichomonadida; Trichomonadidae. The record is from Rfam by way of RNAcentral.
AGGGAAAAGUUGACCUCAUCAGAGGCACGCCAUUCGACUGAGUGACCUAUCAGCUUGUACUUAGGGUCUUUACCUAGGUAGGCUAUCACGGGUAACGGGCGGUUACCGUCGGACUGCCGGAGAAGGCGCCUGAGAGAUAGCGACUAUAUCCACGGGUAGCAGCAGGCGCGAAACUUUCCCACUCGAGACUUUCGGAGGAGGUAAUGACCAGUUCCAUUGGUGCCUUUUGGUACUGUGGAUAGGGGUACGGUUUUCCACCGUACCGAAACCUAGCAGAGGGCCAGUCUGGUGCCAGCAGCUGCGGUAAUUCCAGCUCUGCGAGUUUGCUCCCAUAUUGUUGCAGUUAAAACGCCCGUAGUCUGAAUUGGCCAGCAAUGGUCGUACGUAUUUUUACGUUCACUGUGAACAAAUCAGGACGCUUAGAGUAUGGCCACAUGAAUGACUCAGCGCAGUAUGAAGUCUUUGUUUUCUUCCGAAAACAAGCUCAAUGAGAGCCAUCGGGGGUAGAUCUAUCUCAUGACGAGUGGUGGAAUACUUUGACUCAUGAGAGAGAAGCUGAGGCGAAGGCGUCUACCUAGAGGGUUUCUGUCGAUCAAGGGCGAGAGUAGGAGUAUCCAACAGGAUUAGAGACCCUGGUAGUUCCUACCUUAAACGAUGCCGACAGGAGUUUGUCAUUUGUUAAUGGCAGAAUCUUUGGAGAAAUCAUAGUUCUUGGGCUCUGGGGGAACUACGACCGCAAGGCUGAAACUUGAAGGAAUUGACGGAAGGGCACACCAGGGGUGGAGCCUGUGGCUUAAUUUGAAUCAACACGGGGAAACUUACCAGGACCAGAUGUUUUUUAUGACUGACAGGCUUCGGGUCUUUCAGGAUAUUGUUUUUGGUGGUGCAUGGCCGUUGGUGGUGCGUGGGUUGACCUGUCUAGCGUUGAUUCA